GCGGACGUAGCGCAGCUGGUAGCGCAGAACCUGGCCAAGGGGAAGGGCGCGGGGUCGAAUCCCGUCGUCCGCU
This 73-nucleotide transfer RNA is filed under the name Micromonospora saelicesensis. RNAcentral's name for it is "tRNA-Gly". It matches the Rfam family "tRNA". From Rfam's summary of the family: Transfer RNA (tRNA) molecules are approximately 80 nucleotides in length. Lineage: Bacteria; Bacillati; Actinomycetota; Actinomycetes; Micromonosporales; Micromonosporaceae. The record is from RNAcentral.